GACGAACGCUGGCGGCGUGCUUAACACAUGCAAGUCGAACGAAGUGGCGAACGGGUGAGUAAUACGUGGGUAACCUGCCCUCCUUUUUGGGAUAAGCCUUGGAAACGGGGUCUAAUACCGAAUACAGGGGGAUGGGCUCGCGGCCUAUCAGCUUGUUGGUGGGGUGAUGGCAUACCAAGGCGGUGACGGGUCGCCGGCCUGAGAGGGUGACCGGCCACAUUGGGACUUAGAAACGGCCCAGCCUCCUACGGGAGGCAGCAGUGGGGAAUAUUGCACAAUGGGCGCAAGCCUGAUGCAGCCAUGCCGCGUGUAUGAAGAAGGCCUUAGGGUUGUAAAGCACUUUAAGUUGGGAGGCGUUACCAACAGAAUAAGCACCGGCUAACUUCGUGCCAGCAGCCGCGGUAAUAC
This 408-nucleotide ribosomal RNA is filed under the name uncultured bacterium. Its description in RNAcentral is "partial 16S ribosomal RNA". It matches the Rfam family "Bacterial small subunit ribosomal RNA", at positions 28 to 526 of the family's 1533-position model. The record is from RNAcentral.